GAAGAUACGCAGGACGUCCUCUAAAGCAACUUCCGUGGGUGCCAGGUUGUGGGCUGGGGGCGGUGCUGACCUUGAGAGAGCGGAGGAGGCGCAGGCGCAGCACAGUUUAAACUUGAUUUUGUGAGGGGACGAACAGCGUGACAAUUAAAAGAAGAUCUGGGAAUCAAAAGCUUCCUGAGGCCUUCACCAGAAGCAGAUGCUGGUGCCGUGCUUCUACAGCCUGCAGAACUAAGAGAAGACAUGGAGAAGAGGAGGGAGUAGUUGUGACCGUGGAGGCAGAGAAUGGAGUAAUGUGAUCAUAAAUCAAGGAAUGCUGACAGCCACUAAAGCUGGAGAAGGCCAAGGACAGAUAUUCAAUCCUCCCGUAGAAGUACAGCCCUGCUAAUGCAUUGAUUUUGGACUUCUGGCCUCAGAACUAUUUAUAUAUCAGCUUUUUAUCAGUUGAAAUAAACCACCCUGGGCCGGGUGCAGUGGCUCACACCUGUAAUCCCAGCACUUUGGGAGGCCGAGGCAGGUAGAUCAUUUGAGGUCAGGAGUUCAAGGCCAGCCUGACCAACAUGGUGAAACCGCAUCUCUACUAAAAAAUACAAAAAUUAGCCCGGUGUUGUGGCAGGCGCUUGCAAUCCCAGCUACUCAGGAGGCUGAGGCACAAGAAUUCCUUGAACCUGGGAGGUGGAGGUUGCAGUGAGUCGAAACCAAGCCACUGCCCUCCAGUCUGGGCAACAGAUUGAGAGUCUGUCUCGAAAAAAAUAAAUACAUAAAAUAAAUAAGCCACACUGUACUUGUGAAGAUUAACUGAGAUGUUUAAAACAUUAUUUGCAAAAAUGCAAGACAUGAUGUAAGUGUAAAGCAUUAUUAUAUAUCAACAUAAUUGACCAUUAGAAAAAUGCAAAUUAACACCUCAAUGAGAUAUAUCACCAGACACCUGUUAGAAUGGUUAAAAUAAAAAGUACUGAUGAUAUUAAGUGCUGAUAAAAUGCAGAGUAACUCGAUCUCUCAUACAUUGCUGAUGCUAAUGUAAAAUGAUAUCACCACUCUAGAAAACAGUUUGGCAGUUUCUUAUAAAGUUAAACAUGCACUUACUAUACAACCCAGUAAUACACCUACUGGAUAUUCAUUCUAGGGAGAUCAAAAUUUACACCCAAAAACAUGUACAUAAAUGUUCAUAUCAGCUUUAUUUACAAUAGCCCAAAAGGAAACAAUCAGAUGUCCUCCAAUUGAUAACUGGUAUAACCCUAUCACAGAAUCCUACUGAGCAAUAAAAAGGAAAGCACUGUUGAUACAUACAACAACUUGAGUGCAUUUCAAGGCUGUUAUGCUGACUGAAAUAAAAGCUAAUCUCAAAAGGUUAUGUAUUAUGUGAUUCUGUUUAUAUAACAUUCUCAAAUUGCAAAAUCACAGCAAUGAAGAACUGAUCAGUAGUGCCAGGGGUUAGGGUUGUGGGGAGGGUGUGAUGAUGAAUGGGCAGCGUAAGAGAAUUUCUUUGGAGUGAUGGAAUAGUUUUAUAUCUUGAUUAUAGUGAUCAUUAUAUUAAACAAUUGCAUGUGAUAAAAUUCUAUAGGACUGUAUGCCAAAAAUAACUUAAUAUGUUUAUUUUUAAGGUCUGGAAAGCAUGGAAAUUUGUAUCUUCAUUCACUUUUGUUUUCAUGGACUCUUUUCAUGUUUGAACUUUUCAUGGUAUGAGCUGUUUUAUAAUCUAUAAUAUGGAAUGUUUCUCAUACGAAUGUUUUUCUUAUUGAAGAAUGCCAUAGAAAUAAGGGUGUGAGGUAUACUUACUUGACAGGAGAAUUUUACUCCUUUUAUUUUAUUUACUUAUUUAUUUUUAAGACGGAGUCCUGCUGUGUUGUCCAGGCUGGUCUUGAACCCCUGGACUCAAACGAUCUUUCUCCUUGGCCUCCCAAAGUUCUGGGAUUACAGGUAUGAGCUACAGUGCCCUGAGAGUCCUUUUUAAAGUAGUGAAUGCUCAAACAUGGAAUUAAAUUUAGGCAAAGCUCACUUUUAUUUAUACAUAAAACAACUUCAGCCAUGUACCUCAUAACGAUAUUUUGGCCAAUGUCUGACCUUAUAUACAAUGGUUGUCCUGUACGAUUAUAAUGAAGCUGAAAAUUUUCUAUUGCCUAGUAACAUUGUAGUAAUUGUAAUGUAGCACAACCUAUCACACGUGUUUGUAGUGAUGCUGGUGUAAACAAACCGACUGCAUUGCCAGUCUAGUAUAAAAGUCUAGCACACACAAUUAUCCACAGUAUAUAAUAGUUGAUAAUGAUAAUAAACAACUGUCACUGGCUUAUAUAUUUGCUAUACUAUACUUUUUAUCAUUAUUUUAGAGUAUAUUUAGAGUAUAUUAAGCAGCCUUAGGCAGGUCUUUCAGGAGGCAUUCCAGAAGAAGGCAUUGUUAUCAUAGGAGGUGACAGCUCCCUGUGUGUUGUUGCCCCUGAAGAACUUCCAGUGGGACAAGAUAUGGUGGUGAAAGACAGUGAUAUUGAUGAUCUUGACCCUGUGUAGGCUUAGGCUCAUGUGUUUGUGUCUUCAUUCUUUUUUUUUUUUUGAGAUGGGGUCUCGCACUGUUGCCCAGGCUGGAGUGCAGUGGCGCGACCUUGGCUCACUGCAAGCUCCGCCUCCUGGGUUGAUGCCAUUCUCCUGCCUCAGCCUCCCAAGUAGCUGGGACUACAGGUGCCCACCACUACGCCUGACUAAUUUUUUGUACUUUUAGUAGAGACGGGGUUUCACCAUGUUAGCCAGGAUGGUCUUGAUCUCCUGACCUCGUGAUCCGCCCGCCUCGGCCUCCCAAAGUGCUGGGAUUACAGUAUUUAAGACAUUUUUAUAAAUUAAAAAUUUUUUAAAUAGAAAAAAGCCUAUAGCAUAAGGAUAUAAAGAAAAAGUAUUUUUAUGCAGCUGCACAAUGUAUUUGUGUUUUAAACUGUGUUAUUAUGCAAGAGUUACAGAGUUUUUAAAAAUAAAAAGUUUAUAAAGUAAAAAACUUACAACACAUCAAAAGAUAAUACACCAUGAUCAAGUGGGCUUUAUCCCAGGGAUGCAAGCAUAGUUCAACAUAUGCAAAUUAAUAAGUGAUAUCAACAGAAUGAAGGACAAAAGCUUUAUGAUCAUCUUAACAGAUACAGAAAAGCAUUUGAUAAAAUUUAACUUCCUUCAUGAUAAAAACUCUCGAAGGAACAUACCUCAGCAUAUUAAGGGCCAUAUAUGGUUAACCCAGAGCUAAAAUCAUACUGAACAGGGAAAAGCUGAAAGCCUUCCUGCAAAGAACUGGAACAAGACAAGGAUGACCACUUGCACCACUCUUAUUCAACAUGGUACUGGAAGUCCUAGCCAGAGCAAUCAGGCAAGAGAAAGAAUUAAAAGACAUCCAGUUGGAAAAAAGGAGGUCAUAUAUUUUCUCUGCAGACAACAUAAUCUUAUAUCUAGAAAAACCUGAAGACUCCACCAAAAAGGGUGAGCAUGGUGACUCAUGCCUGUAAUCUCAGCACUUUGAGAGGCUGAGGCAGGAGGAUCACUUGAGCCCAGGGGUUCAAGACCAGCCUGGACAACAUAGUGAGACCCCAAUCUCUAAAAAAAGUUAAAAACUUUAGCCAGGUGUGGUGGCACAUGCCUGUUGUCCUAGCUGCUUGUGAGCCUGGGGUGGGAGGAUCACUUGAGCCCUGGAGUUUAAGGCUGCAGUGAGCAAUGAUCAUGCCACUGCACUGUAGCCUGGGUUGUGACAGCGCAAGACACUGUUAAUAAACAAGACAAAACAGACUCCAUCAAAAAGCUCUUAGAGCUGAUAAACAAAUUCAGUAAAGUUUCAGGAUCCAAAACCAACAUGCAAAAAUCAGUAGUGUUUCUAUACGCCAAUAACAAACAAGCUGAAAAAUACAUUAAGAAAGCAAUUCCAUUUACAAUAGCUACAAAAAAAAAAACUUAGAAAUAAAUGUAACCAAGGCGGUAAAAGACCUCUAUGCCAUAAACGACAGAACAUUGAUGAAAGAAAUUGAAAAGGACACAAAUAGAUAUCCCAUGUUC
This 4014-nucleotide long non-coding RNA is filed under the name Homo sapiens (human). RNAcentral's name for it is "TMEM161B divergent transcript". The record is from RNAcentral. Lineage: Eukaryota; Metazoa; Chordata; Mammalia; Primates; Hominidae.